CGAGUGGUGGUCCUAUAAUUUCGGGAUGGAAAUCCUCUGAUUUCAUCCGGUGAAGUCAGGGAGGAACAUAAUCUGAGUUCUACCCGUCCAUUAGCGAUCCAAUCGAUCGUUCCGACGGGCUAACGAACCGAACCGCGAUCACAGCAAACAUAAUUCACAGCAGCAGCGGCGAGCCCAUCCAUACCCGGCGGCGACAUCCACGCGGCGGCACGACAGGCAGACGGAGGCGGCCCGCGUUCGUGCCGUGUGCGCCUCCCCUCGCCCCUCCCCUUUUCCGCUCCCCGCGCACGCGAAGGCGAAUUGGGGGUGAGGUGGGCUCGUGUUCGGUUUUGGGAGGUCAAAUUCCAAUUCAUGGCGGUGCGGCCGGGGUGGGUGGUGGCGGUGGCGUGGGGGUCGGCAGAGCUGUGGCAGCGCGUGGCGUGCAACCCGGAGACGCUCCCGCCCGACCGCGUCUUCGCGCUGCUCUGCUGCGCGCCGCUCCACCUCCUCGUGCGCCUCGCCGCCUUCCUGUGCGUCCCCUUCCUCCCCCACGCCCGCGCCCCCCUCCGCCUCGCCUCCCCUCUCCGCGGCGGCCGCCAAUUCCUUGUCCUCCGUCCCCCGGAGCUAGUGCCGCAUCCUUUCACUUACUCCUCCAACUCCUCCUCAUCGUCGUCUUCGUCGGAUGAGGAUGACGACGGGGACGACAUCCACGACCACGUCGAUUGAGGUAAAACAAAAGGAGAGAUGCCAUUCACACUAUAAAACAAGGAAAUCUAGAAGUUAGGUGCCCAUGUAGAGUUGAAUUCAUGCUUUUUUGCUAGUAGGUUUCCAAUCGAACCCACUAGCAAUUUGUAAUGGCUGAAGGUUGCUUAGGAAGAAGGCUCUGAAAGGACGGAUAAUUUAGGCCUUCAGGUGCAAAGAUUGAACAAUCAUAUGUGGUACCAGACGUUAAACCGCUUGCCCUUCUAUCUUGCAGUGUUCAGGACUUUAACAUCCUGAGGAUGCUCAUUGUUCAUAAGUCAAUGGAUCGGAGGAUCUACAAAAGGGCUACCUGAGGGAUGAAACUGGUUGACAGUCAUUAUUUGUUGUUGCAUCGUAUUAAGCGAACUCAUCAGCAAGGAGUGGUGCUGAAUCUGAAUGUGUCACAUAUGUACUUGAAAGUUGAAAUACAAUUCCAAAUUUGAAUUGAAGACGGUUGUGUUCCUGUUU
RNA transcript from Phragmites australis (common reed), 1188 nucleotides. RefSeq lists it as uncharacterized. NCBI's taxonomy places the organism in Eukaryota, Viridiplantae, Streptophyta, Magnoliopsida, Poales, Poaceae. The record is from RefSeq and is a predicted model, not a curated record. The transcript has 3 exons.